RNAcentral lists this long non-coding RNA (437 nucleotides) under Homo sapiens (human). Its description in RNAcentral is "HSALNT0319074". The record is from RNAcentral. Lineage: Eukaryota; Metazoa; Chordata; Mammalia; Primates; Hominidae.
CAGAGGACAACAGAACUUCACAAAUAGUGGAAGUGAAGUUCCUUCCUCAGGAAAGGACCUUUGGGCAGCAAGGAAGGAAGGAAGGAAGGAAGGAAAGAAGGAAGAAAGGAAGGAGAAAAAUAAAUUAUCCAAGAACUGAAACUCACCAGAUCACCACAUCCGUGAGAUCCCGGACCCCUCAUUCAUCCUUAUUGCUUCCUUGCCCCCUCCCUAGUUUCUACUUUCUUACACAUUGUUACAUUUCUUCCCUGCUAUUUAAACCCCUAGUUUUGGCCCAUCAGGGAGAUGGAUGUAAGACUGAGCUCGAUCUCCUUGGCUGUAGCACCUAAUUAAAGCCCUCUUCCUUGGCAAUACUUGUCAUCGCAGUGAUUGGCUUACUGUGCAGUGAGCAGCAGGACCUAGGCCAAAUCCCUGGUGUUUUGGUAACAAUAUCAUCA